Molecule: long non-coding RNA, 1501 nt
Organism: Nomia melanderi (Alkali bee)
Lineage: Eukaryota; Metazoa; Arthropoda; Insecta; Hymenoptera; Halictidae
Source: RefSeq, a predicted model, not a curated record
UGUUUGCGCGGAUUGUAAAAAUUGAAAGCAGUUUCGAGUAUUAAAGUGUUGGGUAUUGAUGAAUAGAAGAAUCGACGGUAUUUCACAGGAAUAUUCAUAAUACGGCGAUGCUCUUGUCUUAUGAUAUCGUAUAAUUGAAGCAAAAUUCAAUUUUUAACAAUCAUCUUAAUUUCAAUCCCUUCAAAUUUGUCUAUAACAGGUGUAAACUCGUAUAAACUUCCGUAAUCUAACGAUGACAACAGAGAUUACCGAUGCAUUUCUUUGGUGUCUGUAGAUAAUUAAACACUUCCACGAAUCGCUGAAUUUUCCCGUUCCACGGAUUACCGAGCAACAAGCAUAUUGAUUUUUCUAUUAAUGAUAGAUUUACGGACAUUUAUUCUAUACUUUAUUCUAUCGUUCGCAGAAGACUAUAUGUUUGUUUAUAUAGAUCGCGAAAAUUAGUGUUUCAAAACCUGAGAAUUAUAUGUAUUCGCAAAAUCGCAUCAAUCAAGAUCGACUUAAAUGAUUUCGAAAUAAUGUUUAAAAAAUUCAAUAUCCGUUAAAUGGACGAAUUCCGAUUGAAUCUAGUGUUACCAUUAUGUUCGAACACGAUGACAGUGAUUGCUACGAUUAUCUCUGCCACUGAUGCAAAUAUUUUCCACGUUCGAUAAAUGAGCGAUCGUCGUGACGAACGUGUCGAAGUGCUGAAAGUAUCCGCUGGGGGUAGCAAUAACGAGAGAUACGCUCUAGGGCAUUUCCGAACGUUUCGAGCGUCAGUCACGCGUUUCCGAGGACACUGGUGCACGAUAAAGUUUAUCGUUAUCUUACCUGCUCAACCGGCUGAUCGGAGAAAUGAACUUUCUGCUGGCCGGAGUUGAACAUCUUCCGAAUUACAGUACUUAGAACUUGGUCCGAGGUAACCACGCUUUAGACGACGCGUUAACGCGAAACAGAUUAAUGGGAACACAUUGUGCAGCGCGUCAUGGAAAGCGAGGAAGAGCUUCGAAGACUAAUGCAGUUGAGAUCCAUCCAAGAGAGUUAGCCAGAUUGCUCGCGUCUUCGCUGAUAGCGAUCGCGGAAAGGAGAGGCGAAGACGAAUGCAAGAAACCUCAGUAUCUCUAGAUGACUCUGUGCAAGAAUAAAUCUAUCAGCCGUGAAAGAUAUUAAACCCCGGAUCCAAUGAAGCAAUGAGAGAGAAGAAAGAAGUCGAAGGAUUUUCAGUAUCAGCAGAAAGCUAGAAAAAUCAGAAUCUUGAAUCAAAUCUGAUGCAUUUUCUGAAAAAUCUUUUAUUCUACUUAACUCAAGAAACAUCCCUUUACAAUACCUCGUUUCCAAGUUUCUACUUAUGAAUCCUAAUCUACCAACGUGGCGAUUUUCAAAUCUGACGAUUGCAGAAAUAAAGACUCCUGUGAGAACAAUUACUUAUCUACUGAAGAGAUUAACGAACAUUAUUUACAACGACAUUCCCAAACAAUAUACUAAGUAGUUACUUGCAGAUAAAAGGAAAAACCGUGUCGCUCCU